Molecule: ribosomal RNA, 593 nt
Filed under: Leucicorus atlanticus
Lineage: Eukaryota; Metazoa; Chordata; Actinopteri; Ophidiiformes; Ophidiidae
Description: partial 16S ribosomal RNA
Rfam family: Bacterial large subunit ribosomal RNA
Source: RNAcentral
CAAAAACAUCGCCUCUUGCAAAAACGAAGAAUAAGAGGUCCCGCCUGCCCUGUGACUAUAAGUUUAACGGCCGCGGUAUUUUGACCGUGCGAAGGUAGCGCAAUCACUUGUCUCUUAAAUGGAGACCUGUAUGAAUGGCACGACGAGGGCUUGACUGUCUCCCCCCUCAAGUCAAUGAAAUUGAUCUCCCCGUGCAGAAGCGGGGAUACCUACAUAAGACGAGAAGACCCUAUGGAGCUUUAGACACCAAAGCAGCCCAUGUUAAACACCCCCGGCUAUGGGGCUAAACUGAUUGGAACCUGCCCUACUGUCUUUGGUUGGGGCGACCGCGGGGAAAGAUAAAACCCCCAUGUGGAAUGGGAGAAAUACCUCCUAAAACCAAGAGCUACAACUCUAAGGAUCAGAAAUUCUGACCAUUAUGAUCCGGCAAAGCCGAUCAACGAACCAAGUUACCCUAGGGAUAACAGCGCAAUCCCCUUCUAGAGUCCAUAUCGACAAGGGGGUUUACGACCUCGAUGUUGGAUCAGGACAUCCUAAUGGUGCAGCCGCUAUUAAGGGUUCGUUUGUUCAACGAUUAAAGUCCUACGUGAUCU